Oncorhynchus tshawytscha (Chinook salmon) is the source of this 475-nucleotide long non-coding RNA. NCBI's taxonomy places the organism in Eukaryota, Metazoa, Chordata, Actinopteri, Salmoniformes, Salmonidae. The record is from Ensembl.
CUUUUUUGCCCCACUGUAAGUAGGAGGAGAUAUGGAGGAUAAGAUAUGGAGGAGGAGAUAUGGAGGAGGAGGUACGGAGGAGAUAAGGAGGAGGAGGUAUGGAGGAAGAGAUACAGGUCUCACUCCUCCUCCUCCAUAAACACAGAGGGUUGGUGAGGAGAGGACCAGCUAGCAGAGGGGUGGUGAGGAGAGGACCAGCUAGCAGAGGAGAGGACCAGCUAGCAGAGGAGUGGUGAGGAGAGGACCAGCUAGCAGAGGAGAGGACCAGCUAGCAGAAGAGUGGUGAGGAGAGGACCAGCUAGCAGAGGAGUGGUGAGGAGAGGACCAGCUAGCAGAGGAGAGGACCAGCUAGCAGAGGGGAGGUGAGGAGAGGACCAGCUAGCAGAGGAGAGGACCAGCUAGCAGAGGAGUGGUGAGGAGAGGACCAGCUAGCAGAGGACUGGUGAGGAGAGGACCAGCUAGCAGAGGAGUGGUG